RNAcentral lists this ribosomal RNA (413 nucleotides) under uncultured Desulfurellales bacterium. RNAcentral describes it as "bacterial SSU rRNA". It matches the Rfam family "Bacterial small subunit ribosomal RNA", at positions 355 to 776 of the family's 1533-position model. The record is from RNAcentral. Lineage: Bacteria; Pseudomonadati; Campylobacterota; Desulfurellia; Desulfurellales.
UAGGGAAUAUUGCGCAAUGGACGAAAGUCUGACGCAGCGACGCCGCGUGAGUGAUGAAGGUCUUUUGAUUGUAAAGCUCUGUAAGAGGGGAAGAAAAAUUUAAAAUUGACGGUACCCUCAAAGUAAGGACCGGCUAAAUAUGUGCCAGCAGCCGCGGUAAUACAUAUGGUCCGAGCGUUGUCCGGAAUGACUGGGCGUAAAGGGUGUGUAGGCGGAUUGGAAAGUCAGGUGUGAAAUCCCCGAGCUUAACUCGGGAUCUGCGCUUGAAACUUCCAGUCUUGUGCAUGUCAGGGGUAAGCGGAAUUCCCGGAGUAGCGGUGAAAUGCGUAGAUAUCGGGAAGAACACCGGUGGCGAAGGCGGCUUACUGGGGCAUAGCAGACGCUGAGACACGAAAGCGUGGGGAGCGAACAGG